RNAcentral lists this ribosomal RNA (468 nucleotides) under uncultured bacterium. RNAcentral's name for it is "partial 16S ribosomal RNA". It matches the Rfam family "Bacterial small subunit ribosomal RNA", at positions 28 to 507 of the family's 1533-position model. The record is from RNAcentral.
GACGAACGCUGGCGGCGGGCUUAACACAUGCAAGUCGAACGGAAAGGCCCUGCUUUUGGGGGGUGCUCGAGUGGGGAACGGGGGAGUAACAAGUGAGUAACCUGGCCUUGACUUUGGGAUAAAUUCAGGAAACUGGGGCUAAUACCGGAUAGGAGCUCCUGCUGCAUGGUGGGGGGUGGAAAGGUUCGGCGGUUGGGGAUGGACUCGCGGCUUAUCAGCUUGUUGGUGGGGUAGUGGCUUACCAAGGCUUUGACGGGUAGCCGGCCUGAGAGGGUGACCGGCCACAUUGGGACUGAGAUACGGCCCAGACUCCUACGGGAGGCAGCAGUGGGGAAUAUUGCACAAUGGGCGGAAGCCUGAUGCAGCAACGCCGCGUGCGGGAUGACGGCCUUCGGGUUGUAAACCGCUUUCGCCUGUGACGAAGCGUGAGUGACGGUAAUGGGUAAAGAAGCACCGGCUAACUACGUG